Molecule: long non-coding RNA, 2015 nt
Filed under: Taeniopygia guttata (zebra finch)
Lineage: Eukaryota; Metazoa; Chordata; Aves; Passeriformes; Estrildidae
Description: lncRNA (ENSTGUG00000026285.1)
Source: RNAcentral
ACAAACAUUAUCUUAUAUUUUUUUUCUUAGCUGUCCAGAAUAGUAUCAUAACUGUAUCAACAUGGUUCAGUAUUUUUGCAGAUCUGGAUCUCCUUUCAAAUCCAGAUGCCACUGGAUAUUCAGUGAACUGCUUAAUAUUUAGACAGUUACCCUAUGGGCAGAUAUUGACAGUAUUGUAUUACAAUGGUCUUUAAAACAGACUCAUUUCAUUUUACUAUUACAAAUGGGUUUAACAUCCUGCUACAGACAAAUACCAUCAUCUGGUGUGAUGGUGAACAUUUAAGUUCCAAGAAGAACAGCAUUAAAAGGAUCCUACUAUGAGUUUUAAGAGAAAAAUUGGUCUCAAACACCUUAGGUUUGGGACAUUUUGGAGCUGUUUGAAAGCCUAUUAAGCUGGUAUGGUUCAAUGCACAUAAGAUUUGGUUUGUGAUGCAUCACAGAGGAUAAAAAGCGGGGGGGAACUAGAUCUAGCUAAUUAUUUUUUAUCCCAUGGCCUUCCAAAAAUAAAAUCCCUGGGGUUAUGAGGCAAAUAGUAAUUCCAGGAAAAUACUCCAGGGCAUACAAAGGAUUCUUUUUAAUUGUUCUAUCUUCAAGGAAACCACGUGCUUAAGAUUGACACCUGAGACAGCAAAGCUGUAUUUGGGACAUAAAAGCGAUGUGACGAUGGUAUCAUUUCCCAACCCUGAGAAAGCCAUGAAUUUUGAUUUUUCAUAGAAUCAUGUAACAGCUUUGGUUGGAAGGGACCUUAAAGAUCAUCUUGUUCCAACCCCCCUGCAGUGGGCAAGGACACCUUUCAUGAGACAAGGCUGCUCAAAGCCCUGUCCAAUCAGACUUCCAGGGAUGGGGCAUCCACAGCUUCUCUGGGCACUUUGAAAGCUUUGGAAGGUCCUGUGACGUUGCAGACAGCAGAACAAUUCCAAAGACUAAAACCUUGCAAAAGCACAAAAGAUUUGGGCUAGGCCAGGAUGUACCCUUCUUUAUUAAUUUGUCCAGUACAAGAUGUUGUAGGUCAAGUUCUGUCCUAACUUGUAAUUAACUUCAGAAAUUUGAAAAGAUGAUGGGCAAAGAGAACACAUUCUUACCUGCUGCCUGCCUGACACACACAACCAGAUUAAUUCUGGCAGUGCUCACUGUUCAGCUACUUGCAGUGGACACCAACUGGGAGAAAACAGAGAAACCUCCCUAACAGCCAUUUCAAUCAGCAGUGAAAUUAGUGUUUACAGUGGUCAGCUACACAUCUGUAGUUGGAAUAGACAUCCACAACAAACCGUGCAAACAGUUUCUUAAUCAACAGCUUAAUUACAGCAGUUACAUCCUCAUUCUCCUAAGUGUAGGAAUUAAUGAACAGUGUUCCACUUUGCUUGCAGUAAUGAGGUUUUAAUCUACUACUAAAUCUUUUCUUUACUACAAGCAAUGUCACCACAGUGUGAAAUUGCUACUGACACCACAGACAUGCUCCUAUGUCAAUGCAAGCAUCAGUUAUAGGGCCAUGGCCCAGUUUACUUGAAACAAGAGUUCUAUAAACAGCCAGUGCAGGAGGAGAUGAAUCAGGCUUGUUUGGCAGGAGUAAGACUUGACAAAAAGUACAUGCAGUAGUGAUGAAUCCAGCCUAUUUCAAGUGUGGGAGAACUUCACCUAAAUUAUCUCCUCCAUCCUAUUCUAACUUAUGUCUGCACUACACAGCACCUAACCAGGACAUGUCUGGCAAUGAACAGUGCUUCUGUAAAUGCUGAACACAGAUGAAAUAGUGUUAGACAGCAGCACUUCAAAAGUUUUGAAGUCUGGGCAGGAUCACUAUCUUGUACAAUUUCCAAAUGGUGAAUGAAGAGCCAGGAAAAGUACAGCAAGCAAAUAUGAUGAAAACAAGAAGCCUUGGCUUACAACUUCUAUAGUAAUUUGCUAUGCAGUCAGAUCUAACCCCAAGAAAAAACUGAGAUACCUGAGAAAUCCUCCUAGCAGUCUCCUGCCUGAUUAUCUCGUAUAGUCUGAAGGAAAAAAAAAAAAAAAAAAAAAAA